UUAAAUCAGUUAUGAUCUACAUGACAAAUACUUUACUACUGGAUAACCGUGGUAAUUCUAGAGCUAAUACAUGCAGAAAAGGCCUGACUUCGGAAGGGCUGCACUUAUUAGAUCAAAACCUUCCUGGGUAAAACCAGUUCUUUGGUGAUUCAUAAUAAUUUAGCUGAUCGCAUGGCCUUGCGCCGGCGACGGUACAUUCGAUUUUCUGCCCUAUCAGGCUGUUGAUUGUAAGAUAGAGGCUUACAAUGGCUACCACGGGUAACGGGGAAUUAGGGUUCGAUUCCGGAGAGGGAGCCUGAGAAACGGCUACCACAUCCAAGGAAGGCAGCAGGCGCGCAAAUUACCCAAUCCCGAUACGGGGAGGUAGUGACAAUAAAUAACAAUGCUGGGCAUUUUUGUCUAGCAAUUGGAAUGAGUACAAUUUAAAUCCCUUAACGAGGAUCAAUUGGAGGGCAAGUCUGGUGCCAGCAGCCGCGGUAAUUCCAGCUCCAAAAGCGUAUAUUAAAGUUGUUGCAGUUAAAACGUCCGUAGUCGAAUUUACGCCUGAUGUGGGCCCUGCCGGUACUUCAUUGUGCUGGAUUUGUUGGUUCACUCGGCGAUAAAGUUG
RNAcentral lists this ribosomal RNA (607 nucleotides) under Absidia sp. (in: mucoromycotan fungi). RNAcentral describes it as "SSU rRNA". It matches the Rfam family "Eukaryotic small subunit ribosomal RNA", at positions 101 to 709 of the family's 1831-position model. Lineage: Eukaryota; Fungi; Mucoromycota; Mucoromycetes; Mucorales; Cunninghamellaceae. The record is from RNAcentral.